AAGUGAAUAGUGAUAUAGAACAAGAGACUAGGAAAGAAAGAUGGUGGAUAAUAAGAGGCAUUUCGUUUUGGUUCAUGGAGCUUCCCAUGGAGCAUGGUGUUGGUACAAGCUUGUCACUCUACUGGAAUCUUCUGGACAUAAAGUCACAACAUUAGACCUGGCUGCUUCUGGAAUCCAUCCAAAACAAGUGGAUGAGGUUGAUUCUGUUGCAGAUUAUUAUGAACCAUUGAUUCAACUUGUUAGGUCAUUGCCACAAGAGGAGAGGAUAAUCCUUGUGGGUCAUAGCUUUGGUGGCAUUUGUACAUCUAUGGCUAUGGAAUUUUUUCCAAACAAAAUAGCAGUUUCUGUAUUUGUUGCAUCUGCAUUGCUUCCUACUGAGGAGGGUUCCUCCAACUCUGAAUCAAAGAUUUUAUUUGGCAUUAGGAUUAGCUCAAAUAAUAAAUCAAAUGGAUCCAUACUAUUUCCCCCAGAAUACAUGAAAUCCCAUCUGUAUCAACUAUCUCCACCUGAGGACUUUUCUCUUGCAAUGACAUUAGUAAGGCCUAUAAGUACAUUUGAUGAUAAGUUCGAAGAGCAAACAAAGGUCACAAAAGAUAAUUACGGAACUGUUGCUAGAGUUUGCGUUGUGUGUCGAGAAGACAAAUUGGCAACGUAUGAAUCUCAAAUGGCAAUGAUUGAACAAAAUCCUGUGAAUGAUUUCAGAGUGAUUCCUGAUGCUGAUCACAUGGUCAUGUUCUCUAAACCUCAAGAGCUUUUUGCAUAUUUUCAAGAAAUUGCAAAGACAUAUUAUUAGCAAUUUACUCGAACAAGAACGAUAAUCCCUUAAUUACACAUUUUCUUCAUGGAUUGUUCGUCUUUGACACACAACCGCCCUGCUAAAUCCAAAUAUAUUGGGUCGACUAACCACUUCAAAUCGUGCUACUAUGAAUCAAGUAUAAGAUUCCAAUCCUGAUGCAUUCUAAGAUCAAUUCAAAUGUGGCAGACCAUUGGAAGCAUAAUAACUGGGCCAUCCACAUCAAUAUUAUCACAGUAUUGCCAUCUAUCCUUGACACCAUUAGCCCAUUCUCCAUAUCUGAAAUGGAUAUGGAAGACUCCCUUGCUUGGAGGAACAUUGAGAAUGGAAAUCUAACAACUAAGUUUGCAUAUGACAUGAUUGCAAAAGCUAGCAAUCCCGGAACAUGGAAAUCCUUCCCAUCUGGAACAUGGAAAUCCUUCCCAUGGGAUAUUGACUCUGCUCCCUCUAAUUCCAUGGUUACUUGGAGGCUAAUGCACAAUAAGAUUCUCACUGAUGAAAACAUGGCUUCAAGGGGUUUCUCUUUACCUUCUAUAUGUUCUUUAUGCAAUUGCAAUGCUGAAACAUCCACUCAUUUGUUCUUUGAAUGUUUUUUUGCAGUUAAACUUUGGAGCUGGUUCAGCAGCACUUUAGAGAGCCCCAUUGUCAUCAAAGCAUUGCCUGACUGUUUACAAAUAAUCAACGAAGCUUGGAGUUAACAAUCAAUGGAUGUGAUCAAGUCCAGCAUUGUUUUCAUCAUAUAUCAACUGUGGCAGACUCGCAACAUGGCCAGAUUUGAGGACAACUUUUUGCCUUGGCAGCGAUGCAUUAGUAAUGUGGCAGCUAGAGCUAAAUUGGUAGGAAGGUUGACUGGAAAAAAAGGAGAUAAUUCUAUUAAAAGCUUCUCCUUCCUCAAGAAAUUUGAAAUCAUAAUCCAUCCUCGUAAGCUGAAGAUGACAGUGGAAGUGAUGUGGAGCCCUCCAUGUAUUGGAUGGAUUAAAUGCAACAUCGACGGAGCUGCAGCCGGUUCGACCUCUCUUGCUUCUUGCGGUGGUAUUUUCCGUGAUGCUUAAGCUAACCAUGUCAUUAGCAGUGUCUUCUUGGGUGCUGGUUCUUCUGUGUUUGGAGAAUUCAUGGCAGCGGUUUUGGCAAUAGAAAAGGCUCGUCAUUUGAAUUGGACAAAGUUGUGGUUAGAAACAGAUUGUGCACUUCUUGUCAAAGCUUUUUCAGAUUCAAGCUUGGUCCCGUGAAAAAUCAAAUCUCGUUGGCUUACGUGUUGGACAUCAUUGUUUAAAAAAAAAGUUUAUAAAGAUGAGGCUAUACUAGAUAUCAUCUUAUCUAUGUAUCCCAUAGGCAUGACAAGUGAAGCUUCAUUCAGUUAGCCAGAUCACUUCCUAAAGCCAGUGUUUCAGACAGGACAGCUCAUCCUUGUUGCUGAUUAGUCGUUGUGUCGUGUUUCCUUUCUGUUUGCAUUUCCCUUUUGACUGUAUUUGCUAUUUUGCUUUCAAAUUUUGUUUGUACUUUCAUGUUGAUUUUAAUAAAAUGAGCAUUGCAAUGUUUUGAUUCAAUUCAUUUA
Molecule: RNA transcript, 2348 nt
Organism: Vicia villosa (hairy vetch)
Lineage: Eukaryota; Viridiplantae; Streptophyta; Magnoliopsida; Fabales; Fabaceae
Gene name: methyl jasmonate esterase 1-like
Exons: 5
Source: RefSeq, a predicted model, not a curated record